GCAUAUCAAUAAGCGGAGGAAAAGAAACCAACCGGGAUUGCCUCAGUAACGGCGAGUGAAGCGGCAAGAGCUCAAAUUUGAAAGCUGGCUCCUUCGGGGUCCGCAUUGUAAUUUGCAGAGGAUGCUUCGGGUGCGGCCCCUGUCUAAGUGCCCUGGAACGGGCCGUCAGAGAGGGUGAGAAUCCCGUCUGGGAUGGGGUGUCCGCGCCCGUGUGAAGCUCCUUCGACGAGUCGAGUUGUUUGGGAAUGCAGCUCUAAAUGGGUGGUAAAUUUCAUCUAAAGCUAAAUACUGGCCGGAGACCGAUAGCGCACAAGUAGAGUGAUCGAAAGAUGAAAAGCACUUUGAAAAGAGAGUUAAAAAGCACGUGAAAUUGUUGAAAGGGAAGCGCUUGCGACCAGACUCGCCUCCAGGGUUCAGCCGGCAUUCGUGCCGGUGUACUUCCCUGGGGGCGGGCCAGCGUCGGUUUGGGCGGCCGGUCAAAGGCUCCCGGAAUGUAGUGCCCUCCGGGGCACCUUAUAGCCGGGAGUGCAAUGCGGCCAGCCUGGACCGAGGAACGCGCUUCGGCACGGACGCUGGCAUAAU
RNAcentral lists this ribosomal RNA (582 nucleotides) under Aspergillus flavus. RNAcentral's name for it is "partial large subunit ribosomal RNA". It matches the Rfam family "Eukaryotic large subunit ribosomal RNA", at positions 38 to 635 of the family's 3401-position model. The record is from RNAcentral. Lineage: Eukaryota; Fungi; Ascomycota; Eurotiomycetes; Eurotiales; Aspergillaceae.